Long non-coding RNA from Myiozetetes cayanensis, 306 nucleotides. RefSeq lists it as uncharacterized. NCBI's taxonomy places the organism in Eukaryota, Metazoa, Chordata, Aves, Passeriformes, Tyrannidae. The record is from RefSeq and is a predicted model, not a curated record. The transcript has 3 exons.
CCAAUGAAACGAAGGGGUUAAUCUUCUCGCCGCGGUGAGUCACACAAUGUCGCCGCGUCCUCCGGGAAGUCAAACUCGCUUGACAGCGCUAAGGAGCUGCGGAAUAAGCAUCAUUGCCUUCUGGCGCCCAACAAGAAAUCUCACCUCGAUGGAGCUCAUUUCACUGUGUUGAACAUUGCCUUCCUGAUGCUUGGCCCAAACAGUGGGGUGAAAGACUACACCUUCAGUCUGAAAGAAUCUGAACUUUGAAGAUCUUGAAGCAGAGAACAUCAACAGUUCCAGUUAGUCUUUGUUGCAAUAUUCUCA